UUAGAAUGGUGGUAGUUGUUACCAAACAAACCAAAAAGAACAAAACCGUCACGUAGCAGAAGAGGAAAAUAAGAACUAAGGGUUUGGUGCUAGCAGUCUGGAUUUUGAAGGUUGCAGUGUUAGAGGUUGCAGUUUACCGAUCGAAUUUUCGAGCUCCGUUCAAUCCAAAAGUAACGAGGAGUAAAGAUUUAGUAGCUUUUGGCUGUCCUUGCUCUGAUACGUAGCACUCGGGGAAACGAACGCUUGUUUUGAUUUAUGUUGUUAUUUCUUUUAAAUUUGAAUUCGGUUGUUAUUUUGAGAAUUUUGUUGUUGAUUUAAGUUGUUGAAAGAUGCUAUGAUUGCUCACAGUUUUAAGUUGAUUUGUUUUCCGAUGCAGUUACUUAAUUAAAGUUGAAUUAUUGAAGA
This is a long non-coding RNA of Vicia villosa (hairy vetch), 405 nucleotides long. RefSeq lists it as uncharacterized. The record is from RefSeq and is a predicted model, not a curated record. NCBI's taxonomy places the organism in Eukaryota, Viridiplantae, Streptophyta, Magnoliopsida, Fabales, Fabaceae. The transcript has 2 exons.